This 70-nucleotide transfer RNA is filed under the name Grapholita delineana. RNAcentral's name for it is "tRNA-Glu". Lineage: Eukaryota; Metazoa; Arthropoda; Insecta; Lepidoptera; Tortricidae. RNAcentral also lists the same sequence under 1 other name. The record is from RNAcentral.
AUUUAUAUAGUUUAAUUAAAACAUUACAUUUUCAUUGUAAAAAUAAAAAUUAAUUUUUUUUUUAUAAAUA